This is a long non-coding RNA of Maniola jurtina (meadow brown), 105 nucleotides long. RefSeq lists it as uncharacterized. Lineage: Eukaryota; Metazoa; Arthropoda; Insecta; Lepidoptera; Nymphalidae. The transcript has 4 exons. The record is from RefSeq and is a predicted model, not a curated record.
UAUCGGCAGGCGUAGCGUUUGAAGACCUCCCACUAGAUGGACGGACGAAAUCAAGCGAAUCGCAGGGAGCCGCUGGGUUAAGGCGGCGCAAGACCGCGGCGUGUG